AGAGACAGUUGUCAAGUGUUUUCUAUAAUUCAAGGUAGGAAAUUUUCUUGAAAGAUCCUAUACUGUAUUGAUCAAAGUAUAAAUCAGAAUAUGACACAGUAAUUUUCUAAAGGUAAUUCAAUUAUAAGAAUAUGUAAAGUUUUUAAGUUCUUAUGUUGCUUACUGAGUUUUACCUAUUACAGUUCUUUAUUGUAAGAUUUACUAAUGAGAAAAUGUAUAUGGAAUUUAGAGACCUGAGAAAAUUAACCUGAAAUAUAUCUGUCAGUGAAAGAUUUAUAAGGAUUAUGAUAAUUAACAUAUAAUUUUAACUCUGAAAUUGCAGUAUGUAAGUUGGUUUUAUGAAGUUUAAAUUGAAGAAACAUUAACUGCUUGUUUAUAUAUGGGUACAUAUGCCUCUUGUUUUUCUAACUGAAAAGGUAACAGCUAAUUAUAAUAAGAAUGUUAAUUAUACAUAGGGUACAACAAUUUCAUAGUUAAGGAAUAUUUAUCAUUGUUAAAAUGUUGAUUAUUUUAUAGUUCUCUUUGAUAGAAAUCAAGAGAUGUAUACCUGUUUAUCAAUCACUACAUGACAAAAUCUAGUAUGAAUGAAUGAUUUAUGUGAAUAGAGAAUUAUCUGGAAGAAUAUAUUAAAGUUUUGAUACUUACAGAUUAGAGAUUUGAUAGAAAGACUGUUCCUGUCUGUUUGAAUUUUCAUACUGGUAUUUACAAAUAAGCAUUUAAACAACAAGGAAAUGUUAAAGAGAUAGCUUGUGCCUGUUUGCAUCCUUGCCUAUCAACAUCAAGGGAGCAUCUGGUUGUCUUUUCCAACUUUGUAUUCCUAGCAGCCCAUAUAAAUGAUUUUUGAAUGAUUUCGUGAAGAGCAUGCAACUUAGACACUAGUGCAGCAGAAUCUUACAGUGAAAUAUAGUAUUGGAUUACCCAAUGAAAGAAGGAAGAAGGAAUUUCUGGUAGGUACCAAAUGAAUUUAUUUUGGUUAACAAACACGAGUUUAAAAAACAGUACCUGAGGAUUUCUAUAAAGAGUACAUGGACGUAACCUGUGGAUUUUAACUAGAUUAUGAUGUUCGUGAUAUCUCAUUUGGGAUAAGUUGGAAGUUGCCUUUAAUAUGUAUGUGUUUUUUUGUGCUGGGGAUUGAACUCAGAACCUCACACAUAAUGAACACAUACUGAUACACAUUCCCAGCCCCCUUGAUUAAUUUUGAUGUAAAUAGAGCAGUAGUUUGCUUAUAUUUAUGUGGUUGAUUCUGCUGCAAAGAUAUCAAGUAGGUUUUUAUAGACAAAAUUAGCAGGGAAAAACAUUGAAUAAAUUUUCAGCAUGUGUGCUAAAGGUAUGGUUAAAAAUCAUGUAUGGUAAAUGGAAGUAGCUCAUUCAUAAUGCACUUGCCUACAUGCAUGAAAUCCUAGUUUCCAUCCUCAACAACACUAAUUUUUUUUCAAAGAGAAAAAACAUUGAAAUGUUGAAGCUGUGUGAGAAGUCAACAGCUGGUUUAAUUUAAUUUUAUCAAUUUACUAUGCUUUUAUAGCCUGUUUCUUAAUUUGUACAUUCUGAUGUUUCAUUUGUAUCCAACCCUUACUAUAUUGAUACCGUAUUUUCAGGUUGUUCACAAUGAUCGACCUACUUGAGGUAAUUUGAGUGUAAUCUGUGAAAUAAUCUGGAGUAUCCUUCCUUCCUUUGGAGUUCCUUAAUUUAUAGAAAUUUCUAUAAAAAUUUUCAACGUGGAUAUCCACUUACCUGAUACCUUAGCUGUUUCAUUGGACUGGUAAUUUCUGAGGACUUUACACCAUUGUUUCUACCACCUGCUUCAUCAAAACUAAAAUAUGAUUAUCUAUUUAGAGAACCUGAUACAGAAAGCUCAUUUCUGGAAAGAGACCUAAAUUACUAUUAGUAAUAAUGCUAUUAAGGAUACUUGUUUUCAUUGUUGUUAAUGGACUAACUCUCAGGAAUUGGAAUGACGGAGACAUUACUACAAGAGAACUUCAGUAUGGAUUCAUCACUGCCUGCAUAAGUAUGAAGUGCACAUAUUUGUAAUUGUCAUUUAUCACAGAUUAAACUUGAAACUGAUUUUAAAAAUAAACUUUUAAAUGACUCAAAAGGACAGAUAUUUUUUGUUGCUUUAGUCAGUAUAUAGUUAGACUGUAUAGCCCAGUCUGGUCUUAAACUCGUGAUCUUCCUGCUUCAGCCUCCUGAGGGUUGGUGUUACAGUUGUAAGUCACCAUUUACAGGUAGGACUGACAUUUUUGAAGGAAUAUUAAUAAUUUUAAGUGCCUUUUUAAAUAUUAAUCUACAGUGUUGUUAGUGAUUUAUGGAGUUUUCUGAUCAUACUUAGGAUAUUUUUCACACAAAUUGACACUGAUGUAUUUGAUGCUUUAGCUGUAGAAUCUGUAGUACACAUGCUUAUGUAUAAACUUAUAUUUUUAAUUUGGAAUUGUUUCUUUGGAUUAGAAUUGCCACAGCAAAGUAUACACAAAAAUCUGUAAUUGAGUAAGUUUUCUCCUAAUUGGAUUAAGUUCUUAUAAUGCUUGAAUCUCAGCUAUCUUCAUUUACAAAACUGUAUAGGUAAUAGUAUAUUCUUAAUCAUUAAUUAUAUAUUAUUUCUGUU
This is a non-coding RNA of Castor canadensis (American beaver), 2599 nucleotides long. The record is from RefSeq and is a predicted model, not a curated record. Lineage: Eukaryota; Metazoa; Chordata; Mammalia; Rodentia; Castoridae.